This is a long non-coding RNA of Manis pentadactyla (Chinese pangolin), 1400 nucleotides long. RefSeq lists it as uncharacterized. The record is from RefSeq and is a predicted model, not a curated record. Lineage: Eukaryota; Metazoa; Chordata; Mammalia; Pholidota; Manidae. The transcript has 3 exons.
GAAGCCUUUCAAAGUUCACUUCAGAGUGGACCCUGGAGGCAGAAAUAGAGUGCUCCCCUGUAUUUCCACAAACAGAGUGUGGUGAGCCUGCUAGGAGCACGUCCCUCGGACACUGAAGGGGCAGAGCGUGGGCCCAUCCAGCCAGGGCUGGUUUGCAGGUGUGUAGCCGGCAGGCUUUGCCCAGCUACCUGCAAGUCUGGGAUACCUUACAGGAGGUUGGAGACAUGGCCUCCUGUCCCCAUCUGCCAUCUUGCCUGAAGUUGGGGAUAAACAAGUUCUCCAUCAGGCUCAGAUGAAUAUCUUUGGAAGUUGUUCCAGACACUGGCCAUCUGGUUCCAAAAUAUAUGUUCUCUUCCCAGAUUACAUUUCCCAUUCUCACUUGCAGAUGGCAUCUGGAGAUUGAUUCCUGAACCUGCUUCUUGGCUCUGAAUCAAGCUCUUCUGACCUGGUAAGAUGCGGUUCCUUCCAAAGUUAUGGCCUAGGCAGAAAGUAACAUGUGGUGGGAAAGAGCAUGGGCCUCACCAGGCUUGAAGUGAGUUCCCGCCUCCAUAGGCAAGUUACUCAGCCUCUCUGUGCCCAUUUCUUUAUGUGUGAAUUGUGAUUGUAUAGCAUCCAUGUUGUGAGACCCAUGGCAUAAUGGAACACAGGGAUAAUAUUUGUAAAUUACUUGGACAGUGCUUGCACAUGCAUUAUUCUUCCUAUACUUAGAUUAGAAGUCAGUGGGGCUAAGUGGACCCCGUCCCUGUGGUCAAUAGCACUGUUUUAGUUUCCCCAUGGAAGGGGCAGGUGACAGUGGUCUGAAGAUGUGUUUGGAUCCUGGCCUAUGAGGAGAAUGGUCACCUGGUUGUGGGGGUGCUCACCCGGAGCCUUUGCAGUCUCAGGGGACCACAAGUCGGCACGCCCUUGGCCUUCUGAGAAGACUUCUGAUGCUCUGUCCAGAUGGCCCUCCAUCAGAUGGGAGCUUCAGCCCUCGAUUAGAGCCUCCCUUCAAAGGCAAAGUAACCCCUGAGCAAGGGAGAGUAGCCCUAUGUUGACUGUUGGGCCCCCAAAGGCCAUUUCUGGAGGGGACCUGGGGUGGAACCCAGGAGAUUCUGGGCUGCACUGAUUGCCUAGGUGGGAGGAAAUGUGGCAUUCACUCGGCCUUUGGAGGCGGACACCACUGACUAUGCACAAGGCCUCAGGCAGCUGCCCCACCCAGGGGCUCUUGCUUAGCCACUUCUGAAAGCCUCUAACCCUCUCUUCCUCAUCUAUAACAAGGGACUGUCGAUGGUACUUACUGCUGGUGAUAGUUGUGAGGCCUGGCUGGGAUCAUAAUGUCCACAGAGAUGCUUUAUGUCAUGGAAACAUGCAGUAUAUUUCUGAAAACAUUUUUUUUCCCCAAAUAUAGAAUAGAUAUAGGU